This 568-nucleotide long non-coding RNA is filed under the name Sarcophilus harrisii (Tasmanian devil). RNAcentral's name for it is "lncRNA (ENSSHAG00000023731.1)". Lineage: Eukaryota; Metazoa; Chordata; Mammalia; Dasyuromorphia; Dasyuridae. The record is from RNAcentral.
AAAAUAAAGUGACUUGCCCAGGAUCACAGCUUGUGAAUAUUUAAAGCCAGAUUUGGACUCAGGAAGAUGAAAUUAAAGGUCAUAAAAAUGAAACACUAUCGAGAAAAAAAGAAAAUGAAUGUUGUAAAAUUACAGCCCCAAAGAAGAGAAAUAAGAACAGAUCUCCCAUUUGUAGCUGUGGGCGGUCCAUACAUAUGACAUGACCAGCAGGAUGAAUACAGAGAGGCUUGAAGAGACUUACACGAACUGAUGCUGAGUGAAAUGAGCAGAACCAGGAGAUCAUUAUAUACCUCAACAACGUACUGUAUGAGGAUGGAUUCUGAUGGAAGGGAUUUCUUCGACAAAGAGAAGAUCUAACUCAGUUUCAAUUGAUCAAGGAUGGACAGAACAGCUACACCCAAAGAAAGAACACUGGGAAAUGAGUGUAAACUGUUUGCAUUUUUGUUUUUCUUCCCGGGUUAUUUUUACCUUCUGAAUCCAACUCUUCCUGUACGACGACAAGAGAACUGUUCGGUUCUGCACACAUACAUUGUAUCUAGGAUAUACUGUGACAUAUUUAACAUGUAUA